RNAcentral lists this signal recognition particle RNA (295 nucleotides) under Aotus nancymaae (Ma's night monkey). Its description in RNAcentral is "Metazoan signal recognition particle RNA (ENSANAG00000001728.1)". It matches the Rfam family "Metazoan signal recognition particle RNA". From Rfam's summary of the family: The signal recognition particle (SRP) is a universally conserved ribonucleoprotein. It is involved in the co-translational targeting of proteins to membranes. Lineage: Eukaryota; Metazoa; Chordata; Mammalia; Primates; Aotidae. The record is from Rfam by way of RNAcentral.
GCCAGGCAUGGUGACAGCCCCUGUAGCCCCAGGUACUACUCAUGAGGCUGAGGCAGGGAAAUCACGUGAGUCCAAGAGGUCUGGGCUGUAGUGCGCUAUGCAGAUCAAGUGUCCACACUAAUGAGUUAAGCAUCAAACAUGGUGGCCUCCUGGGAGCAGGGCACCAGCAUGUUGCCUAAGGAGGAGUGAACCAGUUCAGGUAAGAAGCAAAGCAGGUCAAAACUCCCGCGCUGAUCAGUGGUGGUAUUAUGCCUAUGAAUAACUACUACACAGUAGUAUUUAAACUUCAGUCCGC